UACGUAGGGGGCAAGCGUUGUCCGGAAUUAUUGGGCGUAAAGCGCGCGUAGGCGGUCCAGUAAGUCGGAUGUGAAAGCCCGAGGCUCAACUUCGGAAUUGCAUUCGAUACUGUUGGACUUGAGGUAGGUAGGGGAAGGUGGAAUUCACAGUGUAGCGGUGGAAUGCGCAGAUAUUGUGAGGAACACCAGCGGCGAAGGCGGCCUUCUGGGCCUUACCUGACGCUGAGGCGCGAAAGCAUGGGUAGCGAACAGG
This 253-nucleotide ribosomal RNA is filed under the name uncultured bacterium. RNAcentral describes it as "partial 16S ribosomal RNA". It matches the Rfam family "Bacterial small subunit ribosomal RNA", at positions 524 to 776 of the family's 1533-position model. The record is from RNAcentral.